Molecule: ribosomal RNA, 487 nt
Filed under: uncultured bacterium
Lineage: Bacteria
Description: partial 16S ribosomal RNA
Rfam family: Bacterial small subunit ribosomal RNA
Source: RNAcentral
GAUGAACGCUAGCGCUAGGCUUAACACAUGCAAGUCGAGGGGCAGCACAAGGUAGCUUGCUAUCUGGGUGGCGACCGGCGCACGGGUGCGUAACGCGUAUGCAACUUGCCCUAUACAGGAGGAUAACCCGUCGAAAGACGGACUAAUACUGCGUAUGCUCACAACUUGGCAUCAAGUGGUGAGGAAAGAAAUUCGGUAUAGGAUAGGCAUGCGUCCCAUUAGCUUGUUGGUGAGGUAACGGCUCACCAAGGCAACGAUGGGUAGGGGAACUGAGAGGUUUAUCCCCCACACUGGUACUGAGACACGGACCAGACUCCUACGGGAGGCAGCAGUGAGGAAUAUUGGUCAAGGGGCGCGAGCCUGAACCAGCCAAGUCGCGUGAAGGAGGACUGUCUUAUGGAUUGUAAACUUCUUUUAUACGGGAAUAACAAGAGUCACGUGUGACUCCCUGCAUGUACCGUAUGAAUAAGCAUCGGCUAACUCCGUG